This 570-nucleotide ribosomal RNA is filed under the name uncultured bacterium. RNAcentral describes it as "bacterial SSU rRNA". It matches the Rfam family "Bacterial small subunit ribosomal RNA", at positions 1 to 612 of the family's 1533-position model. The record is from RNAcentral.
UUAGUGUGAUCCUGGUCAUAGCUGUUUCCUGACGGCAGGCUUAACACAUGCAAGUCGAACGAGAAUCUAGAGCUUGCUCUAGAGGAAAGUGGCAGACGGGUGAGUAACGCGUGGGAAUCUACCUAGUGGUACGGGAUAACGUUUGGAAACGAACGCUAAUACCGUAUACGCCCUUCGGGGGAAAGAUUCAUCGCCACUAGAUGAGCCCGCGUUAGAUUAGCUUGUUGGUGAGGUAAAAGCUCACCAAGGCUCCGAUCUAUAGCUGGUCUGAGAGGAUGAUCAGCCACACUGGGACUGAGACACGGCCCAGACUCCUACGGGAGGCAGCAGUGGGGAAUAUUGCACAAUGGGCGCAAGCCUGAUGCAGCCAUGCCGCGUGAGUGAAGAAGGCCUUAGGGUUGUAAAACUCUUUCAGUGGUGAUGAUAAUGACAGUAGCCACAGAAGAAGCCCCGGCUAACUCCGUGCCAGCAGCCGCGGUAAUACGGAGGGGGCUAGCGUUGUUCGGAAUUACUGGGCGUAAAGCGCGCGUAGGCGGAUUGAUUAGUCAGGGGUGAAAUCCCGAGGCUUAA